AUUGAACGCUGGCGGCAGGCCUAACACAUGCAAGUCGAGCGGAUGAAGGGAGCUUGCUCCUGGAUUCAGCGGCGGACGGGUGAGUAAUGCCUAGGAAUCUGCCUGGUAGUGGGGGAUAACGUCCGGAAACGGGCGCUAAUACCGCAUACGUCCUGAGGGAGAAAGUGGGGGAUCUUCGGACCUCACGCUAUCAGAUGAGCCUAGGUCGGAUUAGCUAGUUGGUGGGGUAAAGGCCUACCAAGGCGACGAUCCGUAACUGGUCUGAGAGGAUGAUCAGUCACACUGGAACUGAGACACGGUCCAGACUCCUACGGGAGGCAGCAGGUGGGAAUAUUGGACAAUGGGCGAAAGCCUGAUCCAGCCAUGCCGCGUGUGUGAAGAAGGUCUUCGGAUUGUAAAGCACUUUAAGUUGGGAGGAAGGGCAGUAAGUUAAUACCUUGCUGUUUUGACGUUACCAACAGAAUAAGCACCGGCUAACUUCGUG
This 484-nucleotide ribosomal RNA is filed under the name uncultured bacterium. Its description in RNAcentral is "partial 16S ribosomal RNA". It matches the Rfam family "Bacterial small subunit ribosomal RNA", at positions 30 to 507 of the family's 1533-position model. The record is from RNAcentral.